Molecule: ribosomal RNA, 441 nt
Filed under: uncultured bacterium
Lineage: Bacteria
Description: partial 16S ribosomal RNA
Rfam family: Bacterial small subunit ribosomal RNA
Source: RNAcentral
CCUACGGGAGGCAGCAGUGGGGGAUAUUGCACAAUGGGGGAAACCCUGAUGCAGCGACGCCGCGUGGGUGAAGAAGUAUUUCGGUAUGUAAAGCCCUAUCAGCAGGGAAGAAAGAAGACGGUACCUGACUAAGAAGCCCCGGCUAACUACGUGCCAGCAGCCGCGGUAAUACGUAGGGGGCGAGCGUUAUCCGGAUGCACUGGGUGUAAAGGGAGCGUAGACGGCCGUGCAAGCCAGGAGUGAAAGCCCGGGGCCCAACCCCGGGACUGCUCUUGGAACUGUGCGGCUGGAGUGCGGGAGGGGCAGGCGGAAUUCCUGGUGUAGCGGUGAAAUGCGUAGAUAUCAGGAGGAACACCGGCGGCGAAGGCGGCCUGCUGGACCGCGACUGACGUUGAGGCUCGAAAGCGUGGGGAGCGAACAGGAUUAGAUACCCCAGUAGUC